RNAcentral lists this ribosomal RNA (254 nucleotides) under uncultured bacterium. RNAcentral describes it as "partial 16S ribosomal RNA". It matches the Rfam family "Bacterial small subunit ribosomal RNA", at positions 524 to 777 of the family's 1533-position model. The record is from RNAcentral.
GACAGAGGGUGCAAACGUUGUUCGGAAUUACUGGGCGUAAAGCGCGUGUAGGCUGCUCUGCAAGUCGGGUGUGAAAGCCCUGGGCUCAACCGAGGAACUGCCCUCCAAACUGCUUCGCUUGAGACCGGGAGAGGUGAGUGGAAUUCCCAGUGUAGCGGUGAAAUGCGUAGAUAUUGGGAGGAACACCAGUGGCGAAGGCGGCUCACUGGACCGGUACUGACGCUGAUGCGCGAAAGCGUGGGGAGCAAACGGGG